Molecule: transfer RNA, 357 nt
Filed under: Microcystis aeruginosa MP07B9
Lineage: Bacteria; Bacillati; Cyanobacteriota; Cyanophyceae; Chroococcales; Microcystaceae
Description: partial 16S-23S ribosomal RNA intergenic spacer
Rfam family: tRNA (bases 133-206)
Source: RNAcentral
AAGGGAGACCUAAUUCGGGUAUAAGACGAAAAAAUAGUAGUCGAAACCAAGAAUCAAUCCCAAAAGGUCGGAACGAGGUAUGUGGCUUUCAAACUAGGUUCUGGGUUCAUAAAAGACCUGAAUCAGGAACAAGGGCUAUUAGCUCAGGUGGUUAGAGCGCACCCCUGAUAAGGGUGAGGUCCCUGGUUCGAGUCCAGGAUGGCCCACCUGCACAGGUGGUAAAAACAAGAGAAGCGAGGAAUCAGCACCUUAUCUUACUUAUAUAGUAAGAGAGAAUGCUGGCUCUGAGUAAAGAGUCCAGAGGAACCUUGAAAACUGCAUAGAGCUAGGUGAAAAAGCCAAAAAAGAAGACCGCAA